RNAcentral lists this ribosomal RNA (496 nucleotides) under uncultured bacterium. Its description in RNAcentral is "partial 16S ribosomal RNA". It matches the Rfam family "Bacterial small subunit ribosomal RNA", at positions 28 to 506 of the family's 1533-position model. The record is from RNAcentral.
GAUGAACGCUGGCGGCGUGCCUAAUACAUGCAAGUCGAGCGAACAGAUGAGGAGCUUGCUCCUUUGACGUUAGCGGCGGACGGGUGAGUAACACGUAGGUAACCUACCUAUAAGACUGGGAUAACUUCGGGAAACCGGAGCUAAUACCGGAUAAUAUUUCGAACCGCAUGGUUCGAUAGUGAAAGAUGGCUUUGCUAUCACUUAUAGAUGGACCUGCGCCGUAUUAGCUAGUUGGUAAGGUAACGGCUUACCAAGGCAACGAUACGUAGCCGACCUGAGAGGGUGAUCGGCCACACUGGAAGUGAGACACGUUCCAGACUCCUACGGGAGGCAGCAGUAGGGAAUCUUCCGCAAUGGGCGAAAGCCUGACGGAGCAACGCGGCGUGAGUGAUGAAGGUCUUCGGAUCGUAAAACUCUGUUAUUAGGGAAGAACAAACGUGUAAGUACCUGUGCAAGUCUGGACGGUACCUAAUCAGAAAGCCACGGCUACCUACGU